UGUCAGUCUUAGGAUCUCUGUUUUAAUGUUAAUGCUGGUCACUUGUACCUGAACUUCCUAAGAGAGAGGGUAUAGUGAGGUAUGUCUGACCCCCACCCCACCCCACUUCCUGUCAUGACCUGAACUAGUUUUUCAGGUUUCUUUCGAAUCUCCUUUGUUGAGAGGGGAUGCAUUCAGUCACUUGGGGGACUUUUAUUUUAUUUUUGGUUUACAAAAGUGAGGGAUAUCUGAGUCUAGAGCAGACUGAAGAGGAGGGGAAGUACAGUCCCCAGAUAAAGGCCUUCAGAUGUCAUCUCUCACUAGCAUGCAGGCCACAGCCCAGAGGGACAUGACACAGCAUUUUUAUUAGGCUUAAUGUUCCAGGCCAGGCACGGUGGCUCAUGCCUGUAAUCCCAGCACUUCAGGAAGCCGAGGAUACCAAGGAGAAGACUGAGCAUCACCCAAAGGCUUGGCAUACUCUCUGGGUUGUAUGCAGGAAGGCUGUGUCACCUUAGGUGCAGAACAAGCAAUUCUGAACAUUCUGCAAGCCAGCGGCAGAUGUGUAGAGGGCACACUGCUGAUUCUGUAAAUAGAAUCUUGAAAUGUGACAAAAUACAGGAUUUAUAAAUGGCAAUGGUUUGCCUGGGAGACUUCAGCAUUUCCAAGGGCUUCCCAGUGACAACUUUUGCACAUGUCCGUCCCUCUCCCAGGAAGACUCUGCACCCUGCUCUGCCGUCCCUGCUAGGCUAAUGCCCUGUCAACCUUGAAGUCUUACCUUAAGGGAACAUCUGCACCUUGCCCAUUUCUAGCACUGUUGCUACUUACCACAUUCUGUCCUGACCAUCUCCUGAUGCCUACUAUCAAGCACAUGGAAUCUAUUUCCUGUCGAAACCUCUGCAGUGUAAAAUGUCAUAAUCUUCCUUCUACAAUUAACUUCAUAAGAAGAGCAAGCACUACGGCAGAUGUUACAACAUUUUGUUUUUCUUUGAAUUGUCAUGUGAUAUAUUACACAGUCAUACCUUACUCUGUGCAAGAAUUUGGAUCCUGGAACCAAGUAAUAAUUUAAAUUUAGAAAUCUAAUAAAUAUUUUAACUUCAUAGCACUGUUUAAAGUUAUACACCCAUGAAUAUUUUAGAACUAAAAUGAAGACUUCUUCAUUUAUAUGAUUAAAAAUUGUACUGUUACUGUACACAGUUGCUUCAACUUAUAUGAUUGAAAAUUGUACUGUUACUGUACACUAUUGUCAAAACUUCCUUUUGCUUUUAAUAAAAAGCAAUUUCACCUCACAGGUUUACCUUUCUUUAGCACUUUCAUUGAAAUAACUGAAAUAUGUGUGUAAGCGUGUGUGUGUGUGU
Molecule: long non-coding RNA, 1334 nt
Filed under: Homo sapiens (human)
Lineage: Eukaryota; Metazoa; Chordata; Mammalia; Primates; Hominidae
Description: HSALNT0122810
Source: RNAcentral